AACCUGAAAAUGAGAAUUUUGGCAUGCUAAGGGAGAUCAAAUGGGUCAUAUUAGCUCAAAUAUUCAAGGAAGGAGAUCACCCUCGGCAACACUAGUAUAUUUGCUUCAUAAGUGCCAAGAAAAACCAAGGAAAUAUUAAUAAUGCAUCAAAUUUGCAAAUGGGCAGUAAACCUCACGGCUUGGCUGGGAGAAUAGGGUGAGGCACACAGCCUGGCCGUGCGCCUUGAUGAGUGGAGCAUCGUAGAGUUGACCGCACAGCCAGGGUGGGAGAUCAAGCCUAGGCGCACGGCCUGGCCGUGGGAUGCACUGAUUGGCGAAAAUCUUUAGUUUGCUUGUAAUUUUCUUUAUACAUUUAGGGUUUAAUGUUUUUCUAAGGUAGGCCUUAGGCAGCCACCUAUAAAUACUUAACAUUUUCUGUAUUUUGGAUAGUUUUUGACAUUAAUUUGAACUUGAGAAAUUGAUUCUCCUUUUAUCGUUCUUCAUUGAACUUCUCUUUCUUGAGAAGUCUGACUAGCUUGCAAAAAUUAACACCGAUAUUCUUGGUUCUCUACCACAAGUUGGUAUUGGGUCUUGAAUCCUUUUAUUUCCUAAUUGAAUAUUUACUUUGUUCUCUACCACAAUGCUAGUUUUGGGUUAAGUAAUUUCAUUUAGAAGAAUCUGAUUGUGAUGGUCUUUGGGAUUGAUUCAAAUAUCUUGGGGGUUCCUUAGCAAGUCCAUUGGAUUUCUCAUCAUGUAGUCAAAUGGAAGGUUCAAAUCUACAAAGCUAAAAGCCACCAAGUCUAAGAGUCAGUCAGGAGAUUUAUAGCAAGGAA
Molecule: unclassified non-coding RNA, 812 nt
Filed under: Hevea brasiliensis (rubber tree)
Lineage: Eukaryota; Viridiplantae; Streptophyta; Magnoliopsida; Malpighiales; Euphorbiaceae
Source: RNAcentral